RNAcentral lists this transfer RNA (87 nucleotides) under Verrucomicrobiota bacterium. RNAcentral describes it as "tRNA-Leu". It matches the Rfam family "tRNA". Rfam says of the family: Transfer RNA (tRNA) molecules are approximately 80 nucleotides in length. Their secondary structure includes four short double-helical elements and three loops (D, anti-codon, and T loops). The record is from RNAcentral. RNAcentral also lists the same sequence under 3 other names. Lineage: Bacteria; Pseudomonadati; Verrucomicrobiota.
GCCGAUGUGGCGGAACUGGCAGACGCGCUAGACUCAAAAUCUAGUACUCGCAAGAGUGUGUGGGUUCGACCCCCUCCGUCGGCACCA